GCAUUAGUCAGGAAAGGCAACUCAGUGAUCCCUUCAGCUCCAAUGAUGAACUUUGUGCGUGCCCAGAUCAAGAAAGCAGCUGAUGAGACCGAGACUAUUCUGGAAACAACCCCGGCUGGCAAAAGCGAUGGGGAAGGUGCACUUCGAGCAUUCAUUAAGCGCCAGGGCCAAAAGUUAAGGCGGCUAUCAAACCUUUUCGGUUGUCGUGA
Aegilops tauschii subsp. strangulata is the source of this 209-nucleotide long non-coding RNA. RefSeq lists it as uncharacterized. The record is from RefSeq and is a predicted model, not a curated record. NCBI's taxonomy places the organism in Eukaryota, Viridiplantae, Streptophyta, Magnoliopsida, Poales, Poaceae.